AAAUACUCUGGAGAGACCAAAAAAACGGCGCCGAAGGUGUAACCCGCGAGAUCUUCGCGGCUAUCUCUCAGGCAAAGAGGACAGAGCGG
RNAcentral lists this non-coding RNA (89 nucleotides) under human gut metagenome. RNAcentral's name for it is "Glycine riboswitch". It matches the Rfam family "Glycine riboswitch aptamer", at positions 9 to 86 of the family's 94-position model. From Rfam's summary of the family: This family represents the bacterial glycine riboswitch. Glycine riboswitches usually consist of two metabolite-binding aptamers domains with similar structures in tandem. The record is from RNAcentral.